AAGACGGGCCCCCGCACAAGCGGUGGAGCAUGUGGUUUAAUUCGAAGCAACGCGAAGAACCUUACCAGGUCUUGACAUCCUCUGACAUGUCUAGAGAUAGAGCGAACCCCUUCGGCCCACAGAGUGACAGGUGGUGCAUGGUUGUCGUCAGCUCGUGUCGUGAGAUGUUGGGUUAAGUCCCGCAACGAGCGCAACCCUUGGAUCUUAGUUGCCAGCAAAAAGUUGGGCACUCUAAGGUGACUGCCGGUGACAAACCGGAGGAAGGUGGGGAUGACGUCAAAUCAUCAUGGGGGUUAUGACCUGGGCUACACACGUGCUACAAUGGAUGGUACAAAGGGCUGCAAGACCGCGAGGUCAAGCCAAUCCCAUAAAACCAUUCUCAGUUCGGAUUGUAGGCUGCAACUCGCCUACAUGAAGCUGGAAUCGCUAGUAAUCGCGGAUCAGCAUGCCGCGGUGAAUACGUUGGGGGGCCUUGUACACACCGCCCGUCACACCACGAGAGAAAGUAACACCCGAAGUCGGUGGAGUAACCGUAAGGAGCUAGCCGCCACCAAAUAAGGGGCGCCCCGGGCCCAAUUAAAUUGGAAAAACUU
This 593-nucleotide ribosomal RNA is filed under the name bacterium S1(2015). RNAcentral's name for it is "bacterial SSU rRNA". It matches the Rfam family "Bacterial small subunit ribosomal RNA", at positions 903 to 1533 of the family's 1533-position model. The record is from RNAcentral.